UACGGAGGGGGCUAGCGUUGUUCGGAAUUACUGGGCGUAAAGCGCGCGUAGGCGGACCUGCAAGUCGGGGGUGAAAGCCCGAGGCUCAACCUCGGAACUGCCUUCGAUACUGCGGGUCUCGAGUCCGGGAGAGGUGAGUGGAAUUCCUAGUGUAGAGGUGAAAUUCGUAGAUAUUAGGAAGAACACCAGUGGCGAAGGCGGCUCACUGGCCCGGUACUGACGCUCAUGUGCGAAAGCGUGGGGAGCAAACAGG
Molecule: ribosomal RNA, 253 nt
Filed under: uncultured bacterium
Lineage: Bacteria
Description: partial 16S ribosomal RNA
Rfam family: Bacterial small subunit ribosomal RNA
Source: RNAcentral